GCCUUUAUAGUUGAAUACAACAGUAGCUUUUCAGCCUACAAGUCUGAGUUAAAAUCUCAGUAAAUGCU
RNAcentral lists this transfer RNA (68 nucleotides) under Saccoglossus kowalevskii. Its description in RNAcentral is "tRNA-Glu". It matches the Rfam family "tRNA". From Rfam's summary of the family: Transfer RNA (tRNA) molecules are approximately 80 nucleotides in length. Their secondary structure includes four short double-helical elements and three loops (D, anti-codon, and T loops). Further hydrogen bonds mediate the characteristic L-shaped molecular structure. tRNAs have two regions of fundamental functional importance: the anti-codon, which is responsible for specific mRNA codon recognition, and the 3' end, to which the tRNAs corresponding amino acid is attached (by aminoacyl-tRNA synthetases). tRNAs cope with the degeneracy of the genetic code in two manners: having more than one tRNA (with a specific anti-codon) for a particular amino acid; and 'wobble' base-pairing, i.e. permitting non-standard base-pairing at the 3rd anti-codon position. Lineage: Eukaryota; Metazoa; Hemichordata; Enteropneusta; Harrimaniidae. The record is from RNAcentral.